This 246-nucleotide long non-coding RNA is filed under the name Elaeis guineensis (African oil palm). Its description in RNAcentral is "long non-coding RNA (EGUI_LNC003534)". Lineage: Eukaryota; Viridiplantae; Streptophyta; Magnoliopsida; Arecales; Arecaceae. The record is from RNAcentral.
UAGUGAAGUGUACUUCUACUUCUCACUUGCAUACCAUACCAGUUAUCGUCUUAGUAAUAGCAUAUCUUUUGAUCGCGAACUCACUUAAGGACUAAACGAUAAAUCUUCCUUUAUCGAUUUAAAUUAGUCCUAAGGACUUUCACCAUAAUAUAAGAGUUCGAUAUAGAAGAUGCAUAAGUUUAUAAUGAAAAUUAUCAAAUAAUAUUUUAUUAAUGAUUAAUUUAUAUACAUUUACAUCAAUUAGCA